CUUUGCUCAUAGUACCCUACAACAGGACCUCAAAUGAAUCCUUGAUAAUGAGACCUCUACUGCAGAGUGUGGGCUUUCCAGCCAGAAACUGCUUUAUCUUGAGUCAACUAAUUAACUUGACAAAGCUCUCAGUGCUUUAAAAACAAGCAACAUCUCUGAACAGCUGACAGCAUUUUAGAGAGAUACAUCUGGGAAGCUGCAAGCACAGAAAUACAUCUGUUUCCAUUGUUAUAGAAAGAUAAACAGGAUCAGACUCCAGACACUGUGGGAAAAAAGUUCUUGCUUGUCUGCUUACUGUUUACUGCCUUUCUGGAGGAAGAAAUGUCACGGAUGUGUCAAAUGAUUCAGAAGAGAUGAAAGCCAGUGGGUUUUUCACCAGCAGAGUAAAUAAAUGAGGACUCAACUCAGGAAAAGGACAACCUCUCUUAUGCUUUCCGACACGGCUGCCGGGCAUUCCGCAUUAAAUUGAAAGAGAGUACAAACGAUGCAGAAAAUAUGAUUGAGAUCACCCUAGGCAAGCAUGGCUUCCUUUCAAUGCAUGGAAAAGUUUGCAUAAAAGAUACGACUAGAGAGGAGAAAUGCUUCUCAAAUAGACCCAAAUUACCUGUCCUAUGGCACUGAACCUUUUUUAUAUACAUCCAUAUAUUUACUUAUUUGUGGGGAAUGCAAUAACCACAGAGUUCCUGUUUGCUCUAUUUCUUAGGGAUAAAGUUAUUCUGUGGUCAGAGACACCUAAGACCAUUAGGCACGCACACUACAGAUCUGAAGAAGGGCUUUUUACCCGAGCUUCCAGGAAAAAUAUUGACAAGGCAGUAAAAAUACUUUCCUUGAUUACUCAACCUCGUAUUUUAAACCUAAAAUUACAGGAACUUUUCUCUUUUAGUCAUUUAUUUUUAGCUUCUCUAUUUUUCCACCUUUUGGGUCUUUUUGGCUCACCUUUUCAAACAUGGUCUAUUUAUACUGACUCUGCAAAUCGAGGAAUAGCAAACCCUUUAAAGCAUUGUCACUGUUUCCCUCUGACUAGUUUUCAAGCUACUUGGGGACAAGUGAAUCUCAGCUUCUGGAGAUAAAUGGAUAAAGGAGAGUUU
This 1088-nucleotide long non-coding RNA is filed under the name Equus caballus (horse). RNAcentral's name for it is "lncRNA (ENSECAG00000054702.1)". Lineage: Eukaryota; Metazoa; Chordata; Mammalia; Perissodactyla; Equidae. The record is from RNAcentral.